Molecule: transfer RNA, 71 nt
Filed under: Spirochaetota bacterium
Lineage: Bacteria; Pseudomonadati; Spirochaetota
Description: Spirochaetes bacterium (wastewater metagenome) tRNA-Gly
Rfam family: tRNA
About the family: Transfer RNA (tRNA) molecules are approximately 80 nucleotides in length.
Source: RNAcentral
GCGAGUGUAGUUCAAUGGUAGAACACAAGCUUCCCAAGCUUGUUGCGGGGGUUCGAUUCCCCUCACUCGCU